AUGACGUGUCCCCGUGGAAUCCGGCGCGCUCCGUGAUAACAAGGGACGCAUUCCCGGAGGAGACGGCAUUAUCUACUUACUCUGAUCCGAGCUCGGCCGAGUCUAACUCGUCUUGAUCCAUGAGAUCGCUGAGAUCUUCUCCAGUACGCUGAUCCCCAGCGCCUCCACAGACAGCUUGUCCAGAACCAGGACCCUGCACCUGCUCAGCAGAGCUGCGUUCACCUGGAACAAAGGGUUCUCCGUGGUCGCCCCCAUCAGAGUCCCUGUCCCACACUCCAUAUGAGGGAGGAAGGUAUCCUACAUACAGACAGAAAACAAGAGACGGAGAGAUUUAAAAAAAGAGAGAGACAUGGGAGGAAAAGAAGUGCUGAGCAUCCAAAAAGUGACUCAAUAUGAAGGCUCUGCAGAGAGUGGGAUUCUGGGCUAGAUGCAAUGUGGAACAGCUCAGACAAGAGGCCCAGCAGCCAUGAGAGACAGGCACCAGAGGUCCCCCUGCAGAGGACAGAGAAUGCCCACCAUGGUUGGGUGUCUCCCCCAGCCAAGGUGGCCAAGCUGAAGGUGGGCCGUCAGUGCACUGACAGCCAGAACAACAUAGCCAAGCUGGCGUUCUUCUACUACCCGGAGAGAGUGGAGACCAUGCGCUGCUUCUGGGAGCUGAAGCACAUCCAGCUGGAGGGAGGUUUUGAGGAGGUAGGCAUAAUAUAUAUGGCAGAUUUCACGUGUCCUUUUACUUUGCCACUCCCAUGAAGUUACUGGUUGACUGGCACCAUCUAGUGUUAAAGUCCCUUCCCUGCAGCAUACUGCAAUCUCUAGUCCAGAGAUUUGUUAACCCCUCGGGGGAACCUUGGCCGUUUCACAAUUCUGUUGUUGCCCUGAACUAGCUAACUUGUUUCACUUAAUCAACAGCUUGAUAACUGGUUGACAAAUUGAAUCAGGUGUGCCAGCUCUUGAAUAGUUUAAAUACAUGGAUGGGCUGGGGGUCCUCAAGGAGUCUACUGAGCUCUAGUCUACUGAGUUCCCCAAGAGUGGGCUGUAACUCGAACCCCCAGAACCAUAAAUCUAUGGAAUUAAAGAACAGAACCAAGAUGUAGUCAGUGUUUCAGCCACAGGGUGGCAUCUCUCUCAACUUUGAGAAAGAAGACAUUAUAUUGACUCGACACCCUGCUCUGCUGCACUCUAAUUUGGACUUGAUAAGAAACCGUUAUGCAGCGCCCCCCAGAGUAUGCCUUGUCAAAAAUGUGGGGCUGUAGGAGGGAAAGUUGCUUAGGCAAACAAACUAUGAAAGAAAAUAAGUGGCUACAAUUUACACUUAUUUUGUUAUUUAAUGAAAUGUUUUUUUUUUUUUAAGGACUGUUUUUUCCAAGUACCGGGGUAGCUGCAUUUAAGCCUGGCUCGGCGUUCCAAUUCAUUCCAAAUGUUUUGGGGAAGGCCCUUCCACACCGAUCUCAACAAACCAGUUAUCCACCUCGCUUUGUGCACGGGGCCAAUGUCAUGCUGAAAUAGGAAAGGGCCUUCUCCAAACUGUUGCCAUAAAGUUGUAAGCACAGAAUCAUCUAGAAUGUCAUUGUAUGCUAUAGCAUUAAGAUUUCCCAUCACUGGAACUAAGGGGCCUAGGCCGAACCAUGAAAAACAGCCUCAGACCAUCAUUCCACCUCCACACAGUUGGCACUAUGAAGCUCCCGACGAGCAGUUCUUGUGCUGACGUUGCUUCCAGAGGUAGUUUGGGACACGGUAGUGUUGCAACCAAGGGACAGAUGAUUUUACCUACGUGCUUCAGCACUCGGCAGUCCCGUUCUGUGAGCUUGUGAGGCCUACCACUUUGCAGCUGAGCCAUUGUUGCUCCUAGACGUUUCCACUUACAGUUGACCGGGGCAGCUCUAGCACUGCAGAACUUUGACGAACUG
Molecule: long non-coding RNA, 1904 nt
Filed under: Salmo salar (Atlantic salmon)
Lineage: Eukaryota; Metazoa; Chordata; Actinopteri; Salmoniformes; Salmonidae
Description: lncRNA (ENSSSAG00000088608.1)
Source: RNAcentral